This 624-nucleotide ribosomal RNA is filed under the name uncultured fungus. Its description in RNAcentral is "eukaryotic LSU rRNA". The stretch from base 194 to 347 matches the Rfam family "5.8S ribosomal RNA". Lineage: Eukaryota; Fungi. The record is from RNAcentral.
AGUCGUAACAAGGUUUCCGUAGGUGAACCUGCGGAAGGAUCAUUAGUGAAUAUAGGACGUCCAACUUAACUUGGAGUCCGAACUCUCACUUUCUAACCCUGUGCAUUUGUUUGGGAUAGUAGCCUCUCGGGGUGAACUCCUAUUCACUUAUAAACACAAAGUCUAUGAAUGUAUUUAAUUUAUAACAAAAUAAAACUUUCAACAACGGAUCUCUUGGCUCUCGCAUCGAUGAAGAACGCAGCGAAAUGCGAUAAGUAAUGUGAAUUGCAGAAUUCAGUGAAUCAUCGAAUCUUUGAACGCACCUUGCGCUCCAUGGUAUUCCGUGGAGCAUGCCUGUUUGAGUGUCAUGAAUACUUCAACCCUCCUCUUUUCUAGUGAAAGAGAAGGUGCUUGGUUUCUGAGCGUUUUGCUGGCCUCACGGUCGAGCUCGCUCGUAAUGCAUUAGCAUCCGCAAUCGAACUUCGGAUUGACUUGGCGUAAUAGACUAUUCGCUGAGGAAUUCUAAUCUUCGGAUUAGAGCCGGGUUGGGUUAAAGGAAGCUUCUAAUCCUAAUGUCUAUAUUUUUAGAUUAGAUCUCAAAUCAGGUAGGACUACCCGCUGAACUUAAGCAUAUCAAUAAAGUCG